GAUGAACGCUAGCGGGAGGCUUAACACAUGCAAGUCGAGGGGCAGCAUAGGGUAGCAAUACUCUGAUGGCGACCGGCAAACGGGUGAGUAACGCGUAUGCAACCUACCCUGUACAGGGGGAUAACCCGGAGAAAUUCGGACUAAUAUCCCGUAAUAAUAUCCGGAGGCAUCUUUGGAUAUUUAAAGUUCCGACGGUACGGGAUGGGCAUGCGUAACAUUAACUGGUUGGUAAGGUAACGGCUUACCAAGGCUAUGAUGUUUAGGGGUCCUGAGAGGGUGGUCCCCCAACUGGUACUGAGACACGGACCAGACUCCUACGGGAGGCAGCAGUGAGGAAUAUUGGUCAAUGGGCGCAAGCCUGAACCCAGCCAUCCCGCGUGCAGGAAGACGGCCCUAUGGGUUGUAAACUGCUUUUCCAGGGAGAGAAACUUACGCACGUGUUGCGUGACUGACGGUACCCUGGGAAUAAGCAUCGGCUAACUCCGUG
RNAcentral lists this ribosomal RNA (487 nucleotides) under uncultured bacterium. Its description in RNAcentral is "bacterial SSU rRNA". It matches the Rfam family "Bacterial small subunit ribosomal RNA", at positions 28 to 507 of the family's 1533-position model. The record is from RNAcentral.